RNAcentral lists this ribosomal RNA (396 nucleotides) under uncultured bacterium. RNAcentral describes it as "partial 16S ribosomal RNA". It matches the Rfam family "Bacterial small subunit ribosomal RNA", at positions 523 to 918 of the family's 1533-position model. The record is from RNAcentral.
AUACGUAGGUGGCAAGCGUUGUCCGGAUUUACUGGGUGUAAAGGGCGUGCAGCCGGGGAAGCAAGUCAGGUGUGAAAUGCAGAGGCUUAACCUCUGAACUGCAUUUGAAACUGUUUUUCUUGAGUACUGGAGGGGCAAUCGGAAUUCCUAGUGUAGCGGUGAAAUGCGUAGAUAUUAGGAGGAACACCAGUGGCGAAGGCGGAUUGCUGGACAGCAACUGACGGUGAGGCGCGAAAGUGUGGGGAGCAAACAGGAUUAGAUACCCUGGUAGUCCACACUGUAAACGAUGAGUACUAGGUGUGCGGGGACUGACCCCCUGCGUGCCGGCGUUAACACAAUAAGUAUUCCACCUGGGGAGUACGAUCGCAAGGUUGAAACUUAAAGGAAUUGACGGGG